RNAcentral lists this ribosomal RNA (862 nucleotides) under Cerrena unicolor. Its description in RNAcentral is "partial large subunit ribosomal RNA". It matches the Rfam family "Eukaryotic large subunit ribosomal RNA", at positions 66 to 915 of the family's 3401-position model. The record is from RNAcentral. Lineage: Eukaryota; Fungi; Basidiomycota; Agaricomycetes; Polyporales; Cerrenaceae.
UAACAGGAUUCCCCUAGUAACUGCGAGUGAAGCGGGAAAAGCUCAAAUUUAAAAUCUGGCAGCCUUCGGUUGUCCGAGUUGUAGUCUGGAGAAGUGUUUUCCGCGCUGGACCGUGUAUAAGUCCCUUGGAAUAGGGCGUCAUAGAGGGUGAGAAUCCCGUCUUUGACACGGACUACCAGUGCUUUGUGAUGCGCUCUCAAAGAGUCGAGUUGUUUGGGAAUGCAGCUCAAAAUGGGUGGUAAAUUCCAUCUAAAGCUAAAUAUUGGCGAGAGACCGAUAGCGAACAAGUACCGUGAGGGAAAGAUGAAAAGCACUUUGGAAAGAGAGUUAAACAGUACGUGAAAUUGCUGAAAGGGAAACGCUUGAAGUCAGUCGCGUUAUGCAGAACUCAGCCUGGCUUUUGCUUGGUGUAUUUUCUGUAUGACGGGUCAGCAUCAAUUUUGAUCGCUGGAAAAAGGCCUCAGAAAUGUGGCACCUUCGGGUGUGUUAUAGUCUGGGGUCAUAUACAGCGGUUGGGAUUGAGGUCUGCAGCACGCCUUUAUGGCUGGGGUUCGCCCACAUUCGUGCUUAGGAUGCUGGCGUAAUGGCUUUAAACGACCCGUCUUGAAACACGGACCAAGGAGUCUAACAUGCCUGCGAGUGUUUGGGUGGAAAACCCGAGCGCGUAAUGAAAGUGAAAGUUGAGAUCCCUGUCGUGGGGAGCAUCGACGCCCGGACCAGACCUUUUGUGACGGAUCUGCGGUAGAGCAUGUAUGUUGGGACCCGAAAGAUGGUGAACUAUGCCUGAAUAGGGUGAAGCCAGAGGAAACUCUGGUGGAGGCUCGUAGCGAUUCUGACGUGCAAAUCGAUCGUCAAAUUUGGG